UUCGCGGCUCUGCCGGUGACACCGGUGCGGACCAACAGCUCGCCAUCGGAUGCGUCCAGCGUCCAUGCGUCGGGCACGCACCGACUGUAUUCGGUGCUCACGUGAGCA
Mycobacterium xenopi RIVM700367 is the source of this 108-nucleotide non-coding RNA. The record is from Rfam. NCBI's taxonomy places the organism in Bacteria, Bacillati, Actinomycetota, Actinomycetes, Mycobacteriales, Mycobacteriaceae.